CAGGGGGUGACAUAUCACACAACGUGUAAAAUGAUUCUUAAAAUGAUUUUUUUUACUGUAAAAUAAUGAUAUGACUCCAAAGUACUUAGCAUUCUACUGCUACUAGUGUUUUGUCCGAGUUCACCUUUGUGGAGUUCGAGUCGAGACCAAGUCUUUAACCAAUUGAGUCUGAGUUGGACUCAAGUCCGAGUCCUUAACAGUUGAGUCCAAAUCGGGUCCUGUGCUGAGCUGAGCUGUUAAAUUAACAUUUUAACCAAUGGCAACAUAAAUGUAACAGAAGAUACCACUAAUACAUCUUGGCAUUGCCAUUUAAAAUUUUGAUUUCACGUCAUCAGCACCUCAACUAGUUUCUAUCAAAAAAUGGUUUCAAAGAAAAAAGCAUGUAGAGGUAUAUGUAGAACUUUUAUUACAUCACAAGUGUAUGAGAAUACAAAUGAAGCUGUUUUGUUAUUGUAUCACAUUACACUGUGUCCUCCAGAUCGAGUUGACAUUUCAGUGAUUUGCUGCGUCUCCCCCGCAGUUAUAUAGUCUGAGAGAGAGAGAGAGAGCGAGAGAGAGAGAGAGAGUUACAUUUAGCAGCAGGUCAUAACAACAAGCUUCAUGCUUUAUUACUGCUUUUAAUCUGUCUAUGAAUCACAACAAACUCAUCAGGGUUUAUGAUAUUUACUUCAUUAAGAAGUACAUUUCAUAUUUGACAUGAAAUUCAAGACUGGAAUCACUAAACGCAAAUUACAGUACAGACUCUCCCAUGUUGGGAAAAUGACUGACCAUCACAAAGCACCGUCACCCGAGACUCCUUAUUGAAGGCUUCACAAUAUCAGUGAUUAGACGUUUUUGUCAAAUAACACCACAUUUAUUUAAAAAAAAAAACAAAAAAAAAAAAACACCCACAACGUUUAGUAUUAGUCUUGGAUUAUGUGUUUCUAUAGAAUGUGUUACCAUAGAAACGAUAACGCAUUAGAACGAGUGCUUUGUAGCUGCUUGGUCACAUUUGAGAAUUCGACAGCACUGUGGUACAAGAUAUAUUUUCCCGAGUGACAGAAAACAAACCCAGCACUCUGCGUAAGUAAAUCGAUCAUUUAUUGUAAUUCACCGAACAAUAUUCUGUUUAGAAAAGAAAUAAAUACAUAAAUAAAAACAGCCAGCAUUACGGGUGAUGAAGAAGAGCGAAAUCGAAAAGGCCAAGUACCAAAUGAACCAGCCACUUGGUUUGCAGCAGCUAAUAAUAACAAUGAACACUUAAUCUGCCAGAAAAAGAACAAUCACCAGUGAGCAUCGACUACUUUAUAUUUGUACUCAACCAAAGACAAGUCUACAUGGCUAAAGACAGAAGCAGUUUAUUUUUCAAGUAUUAAGUUACCCCCUCAGUGUCAAUGUGACCUGUCUGGAUCAGGAUAUGGUAAUGAUGAGGUGGUGCAUCGUAUACAAAACACCCACACAGAGUACAUAUCUAUCUGCCUAUCCUGGCCAACACUACACACACACACACGCACACACACACGCACGCGCACACACAACAGAAUCACCUGAAAGCAAAAGCCCACAGUUUCAGCUUAUUGCUCAUUUACAUUCACCUCGGAAUUCCUUAACCCUUUAGUGACUAGAACCGUCUUUGAUGUGUAAAGUAUAAAGUUCAAAUCCACUCUAGUAAGCCUACAUGUAACACCUAGCACAAUCACAGGGACGAUAAUAUAUGCGAUCGGUGGUUAUUGAUUGUUUUGCUUCUUGGUUUCAAGUAAGCCCUGAACUAAGCCGUAGUGCUAAGCCCUUCUAAUAAUAAGAGUUUGAUUCAACCAUUAAAUGUUUACACAGAAUUACAGGACUAGCUAGAUGAGCUACAGUGUUCCCUGGCACUACAUAAAAAAUAAAUGGUGCCGUCGUGCUCUCGUAACAUACAGCGGAGAAGCGACUGCAUUGAUGUACCUGAUGUUUUAUAUUAGGGCUGGUGUCAAAGGAAGCUGCUGUUUCGUCUACAGCACGCACGGAUCCUGCCACACGCUGCGUGUUCGAGUCGUAAACGUCGUUUUUUUAUUUUUAUUAUUUUUUUUAGAGACGCUAGUUUAAUCACGAUGCACGUGGAGCGAUCGUAAUUACUCUCAAACGCCGAUUCAGCUACGAAAAAGCAAAGUCAGCUACGAGUUUGUGGUGGUUUGUUAGCAGCGUUUCGAUGUAGCACUGUUAAAAGCUGCAGAAAUCGUUUGUACUUAGAACUAGAAGGAAAUAGAAAUCAAGGGAAAUAUUAGGAAUUAGUUAUGCCUAGGUGUAGCUUCCCCCACCACCUCUUUUUUUUUUCUUACAAACUUUACAACCAGAGAAUAU
Molecule: long non-coding RNA, 2319 nt
Organism: Ictalurus punctatus (channel catfish)
Lineage: Eukaryota; Metazoa; Chordata; Actinopteri; Siluriformes; Ictaluridae
Source: Ensembl